RNAcentral lists this ribosomal RNA (497 nucleotides) under uncultured bacterium. RNAcentral's name for it is "partial 16S ribosomal RNA". It matches the Rfam family "Bacterial small subunit ribosomal RNA", at positions 28 to 507 of the family's 1533-position model. The record is from RNAcentral.
GAUGAACGCUGGCGGCGUGCCUAAUACAUGCAAGUCGAGCGAACGGACGAGAAGCUUGCUUCUCUAAUGUUAGCGGCGGACGGGUGAGUAACACGUGGAUAACCUACCUAUAAGACUGGGAUAACUUCGGGAAACCGUAGCUAAUACCGGAUAAUAUUUUGAACCGCAUGGUUCAAAAGUGAAAGACGGUCUUGCUGUCACUUAUAGAUGGAUCCGCGCUGCAUUAGCUAGUUGGUAAGGUAACGGCUUACCAAGGCAACGAUGCAUAGCCGACCUGAGAGGGUGAUCGGCCACACUGGAACUGAGACACGGUCCAGACUCCUACGGGAGGCAGCAGUAGGGAAUCUUCCGCAAUGGGCGAAAGCCUGACGGAGCAACGCCGCGUGAGUGAUGAAGGUCUUCGGAUCGUAAAACUCUGUUAUUAGGGAAGAACAUAUGUGUAAGUAACUGUUCACAUCUUGACGGUACCUAAUCAGAAAGCCACGGCUAACUACGUG